AUUGAACGCUGGCGGCAUGCCUUACACAUGCAAGUCGAACGGCAGCACGGGAGCAAUCCUGGUGGCGAGUGGCGAACGGGUGAGUAAUGUAUCGGAACGUACCUUUCAGUGGGGGAUAACGUAGCGAAAGUUACGCUAAUACCGCAUAUUCUGUGAGCAGGAAAGCAGGGGAUCGCAAGACCUUGCGCUGAUUGAGCGGCCGAUAUCAGAUUAGCUAGUUGGAGUGGUAACGGCACCCCAAGACAGCGAUAGAUAGGGGCCCUGAGAGGGGGAUCCCCCACACUGGUACUGAGACACGGACCAGACUCCUACGGGAGGCAGCAGUGAGGAAUAUUGGACAAUGGGCGAGAGCCUGAUCCAGCCAUGCCGCGUGCAGGAAGACGGCCCUAUGGGUUGUAAACCGCUUUUGUCAGGGAAGAAACGCUCUGGGCUAAUACCCUGGGGUAAUGACGGUACCUGAAGAAUAAGCACCGGCUAACUACGUGCCAG
Molecule: ribosomal RNA, 489 nt
Filed under: uncultured bacterium
Lineage: Bacteria
Description: bacterial SSU rRNA
Rfam family: Bacterial small subunit ribosomal RNA
Source: RNAcentral